CCUACGGUGGGCAGCAGUGGGGCAUCUUGGGCAAUGGGCGCCCGCCUGACCCAGCAACGCCGCGUGAAGGAAGAAGGCUUUCGGGUUGUAAACUUCUUUUGUCAGGGACGCAGCAAGUGACGGUACCUGACGAAUAAGCCACGGCUAACUACGUGCCAGCAGCCGCGGUACUACGUAGGUGGCAAGCGUUAUCCGGAUUUAUUUGGUGUAAAGGGCGUGUAGGCGGGAAUGCAAGUCAGAUGUGAAAACUAUGGGCUCAACCCAUAGCCUGCAUUUGAAACUGUAUUUCUUGAGUGCGGGAGAGGCAAUCGGAAUUCCGGGUGUAGCGGUGAAAUGCGUAGAUAUACGGAGGAACACCAGUGGCGAAGGCGGAUUGCUGGACAGUAACUGACGCUGAGGCGCGAAAGCGUGGGGAGCAAACAGGAUUAGAUACCCCAGUAGUC
Molecule: ribosomal RNA, 443 nt
Filed under: uncultured bacterium
Lineage: Bacteria
Description: partial 16S ribosomal RNA
Rfam family: Bacterial small subunit ribosomal RNA
Source: RNAcentral